Molecule: ribosomal RNA, 484 nt
Filed under: uncultured bacterium
Lineage: Bacteria
Description: partial 16S ribosomal RNA
Rfam family: Bacterial small subunit ribosomal RNA
Source: RNAcentral
AAUGAACGCUGGCGGCAGGCCUAACACAUGCAAGUCGAGCGGAUGAAUGGAGCUUGCUCCUGGAUUCAGCGGCGGACGGGUGAGUAAUGCCUAGGAAUCUGCCUGAUCGUUGAGACUAAGAUCCGGAAACGGGACCUAAUCCACCAUACGUCAUGAUGUGGAACUUGGGGGUUCUACGGACAUCACGCUAUUUGGUAAGCCUAGGUCGGAUGACCUAGUUGGUGGGGUAAAGGGUUACAAAGGCGACGAUCCGUAACUGGUAUGAGAGGAUGAUCCGUCACACUGGAACUGAGACACGGUCCAGACUCUUACGGGAGGCAGCAGUGGGGAAUAUUGGACAAUGGGCGAAAGCCUGAUCCAGCAAUGCCGCGUGUGUGAAGAAGGUCUGCGGAUUGUAAAGCACUGUAAGUUGGGAGGAAGUGAAGUAAGUUUAUCCGUUACGGUUUUGACGUUACCAACAGAAUAAGCACCGGCUAACUUCGUG